Molecule: unclassified non-coding RNA, 247 nt
Filed under: Mucoromycotina sp.
Lineage: Eukaryota; Fungi; Mucoromycota
Description: partial contains small subunit ribosomal RNA, internal transcribed spacer 1, and 5.8S ribosomal RNA
Rfam family: Eukaryotic small subunit ribosomal RNA (bases 1-47)
Source: RNAcentral
AAAGUCGUAACAAGGUUUCCGUAGGUGAACCUGCGGAAGGAUCAUUCAUAACAAGUGUUAAUAUGGCACUUUUUAAAUCCAUAUCCACCUUGUGUGCAUUGUCAGUUUCAGAAUGUUUGCCCUCUUCCUGUCUUCAGGAUGUUUGCAGCUUCCGAAAUUCUUCUUCACGCGUUUUGAACUUGUCAGUCUGAAGAAUUGAUAACUUAAUUCGAAAAUACAACUUUCAACAACGGAUCUCUUGGCUCUC